Oncorhynchus mykiss (rainbow trout) is the source of this 5207-nucleotide non-coding RNA. Lineage: Eukaryota; Metazoa; Chordata; Actinopteri; Salmoniformes; Salmonidae. The record is from RefSeq and is a predicted model, not a curated record.
UACGCGAUAACCAUAAAUAACUUUCUGGGAGAUGUUUACUUGUUACUUUAAAAAAAUAUAUAAUAAUGUAAACAUUUUGUAAAUAAUCAUAGCUAGCAAUACGACAUUUAAGUUGCUGCUUCAGUCUCCUUGUUAAUUGUGCCGAAAAUAAUUUAUAUGGCCAACUACUCCUCACUUCCUAUUUAAUAUUGCCAUAGCAACAUACCUGCUACUUCAUAGCUUUCCCUGGCUCCACAAACCAGUAACUCCCUAACAUUAGCUAGCUAACAAGAAAUGCCAGCUAAAACGUGUGACUAACUAGGGUUUACGGCUGUACGGAUAAUUGACCAAUGUAUUUGUCAAACUAAUUAACUAAUUUCAACGGCUCUGUUUUGGAUGGCUGUUCAUCUUGAAAUUUUCCUCAUAAUGCUAUACUGUAGCCACCCCCUGGCGAAACCAACAUGGCAUCUGAUAGCUAGCUACCCAUUACAUGAGGGCAGGAAAAAUAAGUGACGGGGUGUAAAGACCAAAGGCUGAUGUCCUGAAGGUCCAGGUGGACAUUGAGGAGCUCAUAGCCUCUGGCCACAUUGCCCUAAAGCAAGGGGACUGUGAAGAAGCCCUCAGCCUCUUCAAAAAGGCCUUCAAAGCUUCCAUAGAGCUAAAGGAGACCAGGGUCCAGCGGGCAUGUGCCUUUAACCUGGGAGCUACCUACGUGGAGGCGGGUAAAGCCCUGAAGGGGCUGGACUUCCUGAAGCGGGCCCAGCCAGGAGAGAGGGGCGAGCGGAUAGCAGACCUCCAGUUCAACCUGGCCGUAGCCCAUGAGCCCCUGGGGAACCACAGCCAGGCAGCUGUUCACUGCCUCCAGGCAGCCCAGCUGUACCGCUCCCAGGGGGAUGGGGCCAGUGAGGGGGAGACCUGCAUGAAAAUGUCCCACUGUCACCUGCUCCUAAAGGACUGGACCCAGGCAGCUUAGAGCUUCCAGAGGGCUGGGGAGAGCUACAGGAUGGCAGGCAAGCUGGACUCAGCCGCCACGGCCUUCAAAUAGGCAGGGAGUCACAUGCUCCAAUCAGAUGACUUCACCAUGGAUGAUAUCAUCACCGUGCUCACUGAUUGCCUCGAGCUUAGCAACAACAUCAAAAACCCAGAGUUCCUCGCCUUUCAGGUAAGGUGUACAAUGACCUGGGCCUGAGUUUCUCCCAGCUGAAGUUGUUCCAGGAGGCAGCCUGGUGCUAUGAGCGGGCCCUGCCCAUGCUCAGCACCAGGCCCAAAAGGCUGGCCGUGGUCCUACAGAACCUGGGAGCCGUUCACAACACACUGAGCCAGUACCGGCAGGCCCUGGACUACCACCGAUAGACAGCCAGCCUGCAUGGGUCUUUGGGCAGUCGUCGUGCUCAGGGCCGCUGCUUCAGUAACUUGGCCUUUGCCCUCAGUCAGCUGAGGGAGCAUGAGGAGGCAGCAGAGAACGACCUCCAAGCCCUGCAGGCCUUCAAAGACACUGGUACAAAAUCAAGUCCAACUUUAUUCUUUCUAAGAAUAAUGAUAAGCACAUUUUUCAUGUUGGAAGUGUGUUCUAAAUGUUUAAACGGGCUAUUAAUGACUCUUUACAUCCAUUGACCCCUUUUGACACUAAGUCUCACCCUCAUUUGCUCUCUCUUGUUUACUUAACUUUCUCAAUAUCUCUUUAUAUUUGUCUGUCUGUCUGUGUCUGUCUGUCUGUAAGGGCCAAUGGCAGGCUUGUGAGGGUUUAGGGGAAGCUCGCUUUAAGUUGAGAGAGCCACCCUCUACUACAAACAAGCUCUGGGUUUACUGUCAAAGUGCAAGGACACGUCCAGCUCGGUCCAGGAGCAUCUGGUCAACAAGCUGAGUGAGGCCCUGCAACACAGGCUGUCACUGAUCACCCCUAGAAAACCCCAGUGAGUGGAGCUGGCUCUGCAGAGGUGUCUACCGGAGAGCAGGGGAAGGAGGAGGAAGCCCCGGGUCCAGAUGGAGAACAGGCACACACAGUGACGAUGGGAGAAGCAUGUGACUCCCAGUCACCGGUGACAAGAUCUCUCACUGAGAAGCCGGGGUAUCUGACUGUGCUGCCAGGGGCAUACAGGCAAUGCAUUUAACACACACACUGUCGUAGCAGAAUUAGUUAGGUAACAUUGAUAAAUAAGAUGUUUUAUCUACUUUCAUAAAUAUGCUUAUGUGGGAAAAGUCACUUGGGGCCCAGCGAGGGGAGGGGUCAGGAUUGUCUUCAUAUGUGAGGGUAUCUGUUAAACCAUGUGAAGGGCUCCACAAUGUCUGUACACCAGUCACUCCCUACUUUUCCCAUUGGGGGGAGGAGUAUGGCAGUGUCUGGAACCAUUGUAUGUCCCCUCUGAUGUCGAAACUUGUCUUUCAUAGUAUAUGACCUAGAGGCUCACUCCUCUCAGGGAGCUUGUCCAGGGGUGGGUUGUAUUUGAGAUGGGAGUAUCUAGAAUUGACAAUUGAUAUAUGCCAUUGGAUGAGGUAAUGUUUUGGUAAUAUGAAGUACCAAGAACGAGAAGUAGAACCUUGUCUAAGAACGCAAACUGAAUGAUAAUUUAUAGCUAAUGCUCUCUGGCUAUGGAAUACUCCUCUCUCAAGUAAAAGUCUUCCUUUGUGCAGUUUUCCUAAGACCUGUGGUUUGUCAUUGUGAGUUGAGAGGGGUGGAUCUUUGCUGUGAAAGAUCUCAGUUGCCAUUAUGUUGACACUCUCAGAAUUCAUUUAUAGACACUGAAUUGAUCUGAGAGUCAAAGGGCUAUGGUGAAGCUCAUAUUAUUAAAAGAUUAAGUUUAAAGUAUAACUCUGACUUGUGUGUGGUUUGUAAACUCUCCUUUCACUUAGUAAUACAGGAAAUUACCACGACACACACACUGUAAACAUCAUCAUACAUGCUCACACAGUGCACAUAAUCACUCAUUUACUGUACACAUUAGCACACAUACAUGGAUGCACCAUUAUACACACAUGUGCAUACGCUCAAUAACACCCAUCCAGACAACUCAUAAAGAAACCCGGAGUAAUUUUACUUGUUGUGAUUGACUCUGAUUCUUUAUUAGCACACUGGAAAAUCAAACAGUUUUUCAUUUCGUGCCACCAGACUCCGGCCUCUUAAAUUGUUUAUUUUUGCAGAAUGUCUUUUAAGGUAUAAACACCUAUUGGGUUUUCUUAAAUUACACUGAAGAAGAUGAGCUCUGUGAGUGUCUGCUCUGCAGAGAAGAAUUGAAUAAUAGGGAAAUGGAGAGUUAUUAGCCAGCCACAGAUGUAGCAGAAGAGCACCAGCAGAGAAAACAAAACCGCAUACAUAAUUCAUGUACAUGGCGAUGACCUUGGCCUCCACUGAUGAUUCACUACCAUCCCCCUGUAAAAACACACACACACACUCAUUUCUGCAUAGCUGCACUGUUUGUUAUUCUCCCGUUCCCAGAGUAACCAUAUAUAUAAGAUGCCUUUAACUUGGCAUUGCUGUGUGUGUGUGGCCAGUGUUACACUGCUGCUUGUCAUUUUAAAUUAUUCUUGAAAAUUAAUUUUUGAGAUGAUCAUGUUUAAGCGUGCCUCUUCCUCUCACCUCCAGGAACCUGAAUAAUACAUAUGAGCAGCCCGACCCGACCACCAUUAUUAGAACCAGGACCCAUCAAACCACCCUGUACUCACCCAGCAGAGCGAGCAUUUAUAUGAGAGCAUUAAACCGAGGACGACACAGACUAACAGUGAGACUCCAUUGUCCGAAAGCUCCGAAGUUUCAUCCACUGGUGCGACAGAUAAUGAAGAGACCAUAACCCUGUUAAAGAAACGGAAGUCCUAAAUCUGCACAGUCAUGUGACUAGAUGCAAGUCCAAGUUAAUGUGGUUGGUUAAUUGAAAGCAUUCAUAGGAAUGACUCUAUUGAGUGUAUUUCUGUGGGUCAAAUCUGCUCUUUGCACAUUGGUAUUAAAAAUUCUAAUGCACAUGUGUUACUGUAUAACAUUGUCUGUCUCAUCUCCUGCACGUACAAGUGUUGCCUUGUCAUUGCAUUUGUCUUCCAAACAAUCCCUGUGUGUAUGCUGGUCAUUGUCCCCCACACUAAAAUUGGGGAAGGCACUGUGGAUCUGUUUCCGUCCAUUAGUACGUUCAUAUGUUAGUCACAAGCGAUAUCUCAGACAGCAUUGGCCAGGUUUUGACUAAACUUUGGUGAAUGAUGCAUCUUGCCAUAGCUUUACAGAAUUUAGAAAAUUACACUGAUUUGGCCAGAUGGUGGCCCUGUAACGAGAUUGAAAAUGCAAACUUUGAAAGGUCAUGCCCCUCACCCCGUUAUACCUUAAGUCAUGAAAUUUAGUAGAUCGGUUCCUGUCUUCACAAGGAACAAAUUUGCCUUGGAACCCAUACGUUCCGCCAUGAUGGAUUUUCCGCCAUUUUGAAUUGUGUGAAAAACACUUAACCCUACUCGUCUGAUACCGAAUGACCAAUAUGCACGAAACUUGAUAUGUGGCAUUUAUGGAAAACGAUCUCUCAACGCAAUAUUUUCCAGACUGGUAGCUAAAUCAACAUGGCCGCUAUUGACCAAUAAACAUUCACCUGGGUGUGGUCUGGCACAUAACUGCAUAUAAAUCAGUAAAAGACAUUCGUAUUGUAACAGAAUUUGAUAAACCCUGUCAAGACUCAACAUAUGUAAGAACAUUCAUAUCGACCUUGCUGUGGCGCUAUAACGGGCAUACCACAAAAAUAGAAAAUGUAGCAUAUAAUUGACAUAACUUUACAGAAAACAUUGACACACCUCAGUAUGUACAACAUAAAAUAUGUCAAAGAGAAUCCCAAAAGAGAAAGAAACAAAUAUUUCAUACCAAACAUAUCAUUCAAACAAAGAAAAGACCAUUCAAAUCUGUUAAUCUGUUUGUUUUAGUGAUGAAAUUUGGCACGCAUGUUUAGGGAUAUGAGCUAACCCACACGAUAUCUCAGACACCACUGGCCCAAUUUUGACAAAAUUUGGGUGAAUGAUUAGUCAUGCUAUAGAGAUCUGAAAUUGACCAAAUUAUACAUUUUGGGCCGGGGGGGCUAUAGUAAUCAACUGUACAUACGUUAGUCAUUUGUGGGGGGAUGACAUGUUUACUGUUGCCUUAUUUCAAGGUGUCUUGGUAGUCAAUAUUCUAAGAUUGUCAUAAUGUGUAUCAUUUCUUCAAUCAUGCUAACUUAAAUCUCUGCUCUUCACUUGAAUCAUGGUUGUACAAUUUGAAAUAAAUGUAAUCU